Molecule: ribosomal RNA, 206 nt
Filed under: uncultured bacterium
Lineage: Bacteria
Description: partial 16S ribosomal RNA
Rfam family: Bacterial small subunit ribosomal RNA
Source: RNAcentral
AGCGCAGACGGUUGAUUAAGUCUGAUGUGAAAGCCCGGAGCUCAACUCCGGAAUGGCAUUGGAAACUGGUUAACUUGAGUGCAGUAGAGGUAAGCGGAAUUCCUAGUGUAGCGGUGAAAUGCGUAGAUAUUAGGAGGAACAUCAGUGGCGAAGGCGGCUUACUGGACUGAAACUGACACUGAGGCACGAAAGCGUGGGAGCAAACA